Molecule: ribosomal RNA, 407 nt
Filed under: Daldinia loculata
Lineage: Eukaryota; Fungi; Ascomycota; Sordariomycetes; Xylariales; Hypoxylaceae
Description: eukaryotic LSU rRNA
Rfam family: Eukaryotic large subunit ribosomal RNA
Source: RNAcentral
GAGUUGUAAUUUGUAGAGGAUGCUUUUGGUUAGGUGCCUUCUGAGUUCCCUGGAACGGGACGCCAGAGAGGGUGAGAGCCCCGUACGGUUGGACACCGAGCCUCUAUAUAGCUCCUUCGACGAGUCGAGUAGUUUGGGAAUGCUGCUCUAAAUGGGAGGUAAAUUUCUUCUAAAGCUAAAUACCGGCCAGAGACCGAUAGCGCACAAGUAGAGUGAUCGAAAGAUGAAAAGUACUUUGAAAAGAGGGUUAAAUAGCACGUGAAAUUGUUGAAAGGGAAGCGUUUGCGACCAGACUUUUUCCAGGCGGAUCAUCCGGUGUUCUCACCGGUGCACUUCGCCUGGUUUAGGCCAGCAUCGGUUCUCUUAGGGGGAUAAAGGCCUGGGGAACGUAGCUCCUUCGGGAGUGU